Molecule: long non-coding RNA, 250 nt
Organism: Mytilus trossulus (common blue mussel)
Lineage: Eukaryota; Metazoa; Mollusca; Bivalvia; Mytilida; Mytilidae
Exons: 3
Source: RefSeq, a predicted model, not a curated record
CGUAUGUAAAAAUGUCUUUGCGACAGUCGUUAUGUAUGUGUGUUUACAUAUGAAACGAAAGUGGAAAUUCAUUUUAACCAAGUGGAAUAUUGUUUUUUAAAGUUUAAAGAUCUACUGUUCGUUUUUAUUUGAUUCAAGUACAGUCGAUUUAAUACUUAGUAAAGAUCCUUGUCCAGUCAAUGUGAUCCUUGUCCAGUCAAUGUGAUCCUUGUCCAGUCAAUGUGAUCCUUGUCCAGUCAAGUUAUUAUAG